RNAcentral lists this ribosomal RNA (460 nucleotides) under uncultured bacterium. Its description in RNAcentral is "partial 16S ribosomal RNA". It matches the Rfam family "Bacterial small subunit ribosomal RNA", at positions 338 to 795 of the family's 1533-position model. The record is from RNAcentral.
CCUACGGGAGGCAGCAGUGAGGAAUAUUGGUCAAUGGACGAGAGUCUGAACCAGCCAAGUAGCGUGAAGGAUGACUGCCCUAUGGGUUGUAAACUUCUUUUAUAUGGGAAUAAAGUGUUCCACGUGUGGGAUUUUGUAUGUACCAUAUGAAUAAGGAUAGGCUAACUCCGUGCCAGCAGCCGCGGUAAUACGGAGGAUCCGAGCGUUAUCCGGAUUUAUUGGGUUUAAAGGGAGCGUAGGUGGAUUGUUAAGUCAGUUGUGAAAGUUUGCGGCUCAACCGUAAAAUUGCAGUUGAUACUGGCAGUCUUGAGUACAGUAGAGGUGGGCGGAAGUCGUGGUGUAGCGGUGAAAUGCUUAGAUAUCACGAAGAACUCCGAUUGCGAAGGCAGUUCACUGGACUGCAACUGACACUGAGGCUCGAAAGUGUGGGUAUCAAACAGGAUUAGAUACCCCGGUAGUC